Molecule: long non-coding RNA, 8494 nt
Filed under: Brassica napus (rape)
Lineage: Eukaryota; Viridiplantae; Streptophyta; Magnoliopsida; Brassicales; Brassicaceae
Description: long non-coding RNA (BNAP_LNC002462)
Source: RNAcentral
GGAGAUUCAGCAGGUUGAAGAUGUGGGUGAUCGCUGUGUGGGUGAUAUCUGGAGUAGGGUUCAUGGUAGUGAUGCUAUUGGUGUGCUCCACUCGUAAAGUCAGGGCAAGAGGGAAAGGUUACAGAAACAAGAGACGAACUACUUCUUCCUACUCCAAGCCGGGGUUCGAGUGAUCAGGCUGCGCUCAUUUUGGCUUGAAAGUCUUUGAGCAUUGUAUUUGUAGAGAUACAAAUUAAAACCAAAAAGGAUAUUAUUCCCCACAAAGUCAUAUAUAGAGUUUAUUUGUAUUCUUAAGGAUUUGUUCUUUGUUUUUAAGAAUUCUAAAUUGGCAUUUUGUUCUCAAUCUCUUAGUUCAAAGCACACGACAUUAGGGGACAAGCUGGAGGAUGGAUGCCUCCAAUAACCCUUCUUUUCAAGUUUUAAACCAAAAGGGUCACUUGAGUUUAGUAGCCCAAGUGUAAGUCUGUACUCCCACUUCCAAUGGAUAAUUUCAUUUAUUUAUUAGGAGGAAGAUUUUGCUUUAGAAUUCUUUCAGAAAUUUAAUUCAAAAAAUUUAAUCUUCUGUUUGCUCAAAAAAAAAAAAUUAAUCUUCUGUUAAUAUAAGCGAAAUAUUAAUAAUAAACAUGUUUAAAGAAAACUAUUGAAAACAUUAUCGUGUACCUUAGAAAAAAAUAUAUACACUUUAGAAGAAAAAGUGAUAAUAUCUGUUUAAAAUAUAGUAUAUUACGGACUACUUACUUUAUCUCAUAAAGUGUGUGCCUUUUCUUUUUAUCUAUCAACGGAAUAAACAGACAUGGUCCCAGACGACCUGCAAAAUUUUGAAUUCAAAUUUAAACAGUGAAAAAGCUAAAUACAACGGACAAAAAUCCACAUUUCCACUUUUUUUCUCUUUGUAAUUUUUGUAAGCAACUCUUAUAUUCAAAACAAAACUUGGGAUCCUUGUAACUAACUAGAUACAAUCUAAUUUUUCACUUGACUGUCUGUAAAAUUAGAACCUUGUUCCAAAAAGAUUAAUUAGCAUGGGAGAAUCUGCUUGCCUCAUGCAGCCAUUCUCAUACGCAGCUCCACAAGUGGGUUCUUCUCAGUUUCCUCAUUCUUUCUACUUCUAUUUCAAUUCCUUGUCUUACUUAAAAAAAUCACUUAGAUAUAUUUUGUUUUAUCUGUUUUGCUUAUAGAGAUUUCUAUCUGUAUCUUGUUGUGUAACAGGGAGAUUCUCUUGGUGCUUUAGGACAGUCUGUGUCCUUUGGGAGAUUCAUGUCUGAGAGACUUGACUGGGAAAAAUGGUCAUCUUUCCCGACACAGAACCGUUAUGUGGCGGAGGCAGAGAGAUACUCGAGGCCAGGGUCUGUGGCUCAGAAGAAAGCCUUCUUCGAAGCUCACUACAAGAAACUCGCUGCAGCAAGAAAAGCUGCUGCCGAAGAGGCACUCUUGCUCCGACAGCAAACCUCUGAUGAGUUGGUUCCAGUUCAACAAGAAAAAGAUAUCAAUGGCGUAGGAAAGAAAGAAUCAGACCCCCCGGUUCUUGAGAUUCCAAGAGCCUCUUUAGAUGCUGAUAUGAAAGUAGCUGCAGAAAAAGAAUCAGACCCGGUUCUUGAGAUUCCAAGAGCAUCUUUAGAUGCUGAGAUGAAAGUAGUUGCAAGAAAAGUAAGCAGGUCUGGUAAUAGACAGUCUGAUGAGAAAGAGAACCGUGGGAAAGACGAGUCAAAGAUCAAUGGCAAAGGCUCUACAGUUAAAGAAGAACAACAGGUGGAGAAGACGCCUAUGAUCCCUAAGGUAAAUUUUGAUUAUAGAUUUUUUUUUUCCAAUGGCUUCUUGUGUUCUUCAUCUGUUAGUUUUUUUUUGAAGAAGAAGAAAUCUAAAGAAGCACAACCAAAGAGCAGUACAAAGCCGAGAGUGUCUAAGCUCAAUAUAUCGGAGAGGACUCCAAGUAAAAAGCCUAGUAACAAGAGCAGCUCUUACAAUUUCACACCAGCAAAAGAGUUCAAUAGGUUAGUGUCCAUCAUAAGGAAGAUUGAUGGGUCAUCAAGAGCUUCUUCUUCUAAGCUACAAACCAAAGAAUGCAAAACUCCUCUCAGGACACCAUCAAGCAAUAAUAAUAAGGUGAGUGUUUCACUCAUUUUAUGAUAGGGUAAACCAAGAGAAGUGCCUUUACGUUAUAGUGAUUGGAUUUGUAGGUGUCUGCAAAGGGAAUUGUGGAGGACUCUUUGUUCACCACACCUUUGUCUAGUAACAGAAGGUAAACACACACUGCCUCAAUAAACUCUUUAAGUACUUAAAUGAUGUGUGGUUGGUUAGAGAAGUAACUCAUCAGGUGUUAAAAGUAAAUGCAGAGCUCCUGAUUCUUCUACCAAGACAGGUCGAGGAAGAUGGAAUUUCCUCCCUGCAGAGUAAGAACUCAUCUUUAUUUUUUUUUUUUUGGUCAAAGUAAGAACUCAUCUUUAAUUAAAUGAAUUAUUGCACAAUUCAUAUGUAUAAUAAUGUGUGUUUAUUGGGGGAAGCAGGACGCCGAGCUGCUUCACACCAUUUGGAUUAAGAACAGAGGAGAGAGCAGAGAGAAGAAAAAAGGCAAGAUGAACUUUGAGUGAUUUUUGGUUUCUUGUUAUCUACUACGCUUUAGUCUUUGUCGCUGAACAUUUGUAAAUGGUUCUUGAUGUUUCAGAAGCUAGAGGAAAAAUUCAAAGCCAUGGAGGCACAGAAGGAGAAGAAGGAGAAGGAGGAGGAGAGGAGUGUGGAGAAAGAAGAGAGUAAACUAAGGCAAAGGCUGUGCUUCAAGGCGAAGCCACUUCCAAAUUUCUACAAACACAGACCUAAAUCCACUGACCAAACUAAAAAAGUAAGCUCAUCAUCUUUUAUUUUUAAUUGUUUUGCCAAAGAACAUAUAUAAAGCUCAUCAUUGUGUCUGAUAGAGAUCUGUUUUCGUCUUUUGUAGGCUCUGUUACGGUAGCAGAGAGAGAUGCUAAAGAAUAAAUCAUUCAGAGAUGUGAACUACUGUAUAUUGCGCAGUCUUAGCGCCUGUGUGGAGGAUUAGUCUCUCUAGAAGGAAUCCUUCAACUACUCUUUUAUUCUUUUCUCUGAGACACAUUGGAUUUGAUCAUUUGUAUUAAUAUUUGUAAUUUUGUGUUCUAUAAGUAUCUUUUUGCUUCUUUUUAAAACCCCACAAAACAAACUGUAAACUUAGGUAGAGACAAAGAGCAUUUAACGCAUCCAAAAAUGUUACAAAAACAUUAGUAGUGUAGUUUAAUUAAUAAUAGGUCCCUUUAAUCUUUUGAUAUAAUAAUUCGCAUAUAGUAAAGAUUUGGUCUCAUCUCAAACGUUACACAAAGUCAUAUGAAACACAUAAGUUGUUUAUCAACUUAGAGAGAGAAGAAGAAGAAUCCGACGGCGGCAACAGUGCCGGCGAUGGAGAGCUUCACAUUAGUGGCGCUGCCGUCGAGUACCUCGGGGCCGGGGGUGGGUGCAUCGGAAGAUGGUCCAUCAACAACCUCUGGGGUAGGUGCUGGUGGGGAGGAGACGGUGGGUCCCCCGGCAGAUUCACUCGGGCUGGUUGCUGCGUAAUCGUCUUCGGCUGUUGGUUCCUCUGCCACAGGGGACGAUGCUUUGGGUGCUGAGGCUGACGAUGAUAUUUUUGGUUAGGUACCCAGCAAUUAACAAACCGGUAGGAGUUCUUUACUGGCUUCAACACAGUGAAGAUGCCAAGAAUGUGGAUUGGGUCGUUAUUCUUGAUGCUGACCAGAUCAUUAGAGGUCCUAUCAUCCCUUGGGAACUUGGUGCUGAAAGGGGUAGACCCUUUGCUGCCCACUACGGGUACUUUUACCUCUCUUCUUCACCCUUACCUACCAUUUGUGUUUGGCUCUCUCUCACACCCUCCCUCUUUCUUUUAUUAUCUCCUAUCAAAACAGCUACUUGGUUGGCUGCGAUAACAUGCUUGUCCGAUUGCACACUAAUCAUCCUGAGCUCUGUGACAAAGUUGGCGGUCUUCUCGCUAUGCACAUCGAUGAUCUUCGCGUCCUGGCCCCUCUUUGGCUUUCCAAGACUGAAGAUGUUCGCCAAGACACUGCUCACUGGUCCACCAACCUUACCGGUGAUGUUUACGGCAAAGGUUGGAUCAGUGAGAUGUAUGGUUACUCCUUCGGUGCUGCUGAAGUAAAUCUCCUUCUCUUUCUGCUCAUGCUCCAAGUGUGUUUGACUUCCGUUAUCAACAACUUGUGUUUUUUUUUAUCGUCAGGCAGGACUGAAGCACAAGAUAAACGACGACUUGAUGAUAUAUCCAGGGUAUGUUCCACGAGAAGGUGUUGAGCCUAUUCUGAUGCACUACGGUUUGCCUUUUUCCAUCGGUAACUGGUCUUUCACUAAACUUGACCACCACGAAGACAACAUUGUCUAUGACUGCAACCGUCUCUUCCCCGAGCCUCCAUACCCACGAGAGGUAGGGUAGGGGUAACUAACUCUUUUCUCAACUCCACUUCAAAUACUAAGAAAACAGUUUUCAUUAUAAAAAUAAUAUAUAGGUGAAAAUGAUGGAACCUGAUCAGUACAAGCGAAGAGGUCUACUCUUGAGUCUAGAAUGCAUGAAUACAUUGAACGAGGGACUCAUAAUGCGCCACGCUGAAAACGGGUGUCCCAAGCCAAAGUGGUCCAAAUACUUGAGCUUUCUCAAGAGCAAAACUUUCAUGGAGUUAACAAAGCCUAAACUGCUUGCACCAGGAAGUGUAAAUAUCUUGCCAGACCAACACCAACACCAACACCAACACCAGCAGCCGCCACCCGUCGAUGAAUUCAAAGGACCUUAUCCAAAGAUCCACACACUGUUUUCCACCGAGUGCACAACUUAUUUCGACUGGCAAACAGUUGGGUUCAUGCACAGUUUCAGGUUGAGUGGUCAGCCCGGGAACAUCACUCGGCUUCUCAGUUGCACAGAUGAAGAUCUUAAAAAGUAUAAAGGUCAUGACUUGGCCCCCACGCAUUAUGUUCCUUCCAUGAGCAGACAUCCUCUCACAGGGGAUUGGUAAGUUUAACAUCAGGAGGGUUUAAAGUUACUAUAACUUGAUCUGAUAUUUGGAAUGAAUCAGGUACCCGGCAAUUAACAAACCGGCGGCGGUUGUUCAUUGGCUUCACCACACAAAUAUAGAUGCAGAAUACAUAGUCAUUCUUGAUGCUGACAUGAUCCUCAGAGGACCCAUCACCCCUUGGGAGUAUAAGGCAGCUCUAGGACGUCCAGUUUCUACUCCUUACGAGUAAAUAUACAAAUCUCUCUUUCUCUGUUUGGAAGAUGCAUAAACUAUUUCCUUUUGUUAAACUAUUUCUUUUUGUUUGUAGCUAUCUUAUUGGGUGUGACAACGAUCUUGCAAAACUUCACACGCGUAACCCCGAGGCAUGUGACAAAGUUGGUGGAGUCAUAAUAAUGCACAUAGAUGACCUCAGGAAAUUCGCAAUGUACUGGUUGCUGAAAACGCAGGAGGUUCGAGCAGACAAAGAACAUUACGCAAAGGAGUUAACAGGGGAUAUAUAUGAGUCCGGUUGGAUCAGUGAAAUGUACGGUUAUUCCUUCGGUGCUGCUGAGGUAAGACUUAUCAUAACCCUGUAAUCCUCUGAUCAGUGAUUGUGAUUAAUUGGUCUAAAAUACUUUGGUAUAUUGACAUACAAUUGCAGCUGAAUUUGAGGCAUAUCAUAAACAAAGAGAUAUUGAUAUACCCUGGUUACGUCCCUGAACCGGGUGUUGACUAUCGAGUUUUCCAUUACGGUCUUGAGUUCAAAGUAGGGAACUGGAGCUUCGACAAGGCGAACUGGAGGAACACCGAUAUGAUCAACAAGUGCUGGUCUAAGUUCCCGGACCCGCCUACUCCUUCAGAGGUUCAUGAAACGGACAAUGAUCUACGGCAAAGAGACCUUCUCAGUAUUGAAUGUGGACAGAAGCUAAACGAAGCUCUGUUGCUGCAUCACAAGAGAAGGAACUGCCCUGAACCUGGAUCCGAGUCCGAGUCGAAGGAGGAGAGUAUCUCCUUGGGUUCGAGAAAAGUGGGAAAGUUGGAAACGAAACAAGCCAAAGGAAGCGAUGAGACUACGGAAGAAACGACGUCAGAAGGGAGAUUCAGCAGGUUGAAGAUGUGGGUGAUUGCUGUGUGGGUGAUAUCUGGAGUAGGGUUCAUGGUAGUGAUGCUAUUGGUGUGCUCCACUCGUAAAGUCAGGGCAAGAGGGAAAGGUUACAGAAACAAGAGACGAACUACUUCUUCCUACUCCAAGCCGGGGUUCGAGUGAUCAGGCUGCGCUCAUUUUGGCUUGAAAGUCUUUGAGCAUUGUAUUUGUAGAGAUACAAAUUAAAACCAAAAAGGAUAUUAUUCCCCACAAAGUCAUAUAUAGAGUUUAUUUGUAUUCUUAAGGAUUUGUUCUUUGUUUUUAAGAAUUUUAAAUUGGCAUUUUGUUCUUCUAACAUGCAAAGGAACCAAAAUCUCUCAAUCUCUUUAGUUCAAAGCACACGACAUUAGGGACAAGCUGGAGGAUGUCUCCAACAACCUUUUAAGUUUUAACCAAAAGGUCACUUGAGUUUAGUGGCCCACCCAAGUGUAAGCAGUCCUGAGUGUAAGUCUGUACACCCACUUUUUUUUUCUUUUUUGUUAAAAAGUAUUCCCACUUCCAAUGGAUAAUUUCAUUUAUUUAUUAGGAAGAAGAUUUUGCUUUAGAAUUCUUCUAGAAAUUUAAUGUUGUUGGAUUCAAAAAAAAAAAAUUAAUCUUCUGUUAAUUUAAGCGAAAUAUUAGUAAACAUGUUUUAAAAAGAAAACUAUUGAAGACAUUAUCGUGUACCUAACAAAAAUAUAUAUACUUUAGAAGAAAAAGUGAUAAUAUAUCUAUUUAAAAAAUAAUAUAUUACGGACUACUUACUUUAUCUCAUAAAGUGUGUGCCUUUUCUUUUUAUCUAUCAACGGAAUAAACAGACAUGGUCCCAGGCUACCAGCAAAAUUUUGAAUUCAAAUUUAAACAGUGAAAAAGCUAAAUACAACGGACAAAAAUCCACAUUUCCACUUUUUUUCUCUUUGUAUUUUUUUUUGUAAGCAACUCUUAUAUUCAAAACAAAACUUGGGAUCCUUGUAACUAACUAGAUACAAUCUAAUUUUUCACUUGACUCACCAACACCAACACCAGCAGCCGCCACCCGUCGAUGAAUUCAAAGGACCUUAUCCAAAGAUCCACACACUGUUUUCCACCGAGUGCACAACUUAUUUCGACUGGCAAACAGUUGGGUUCAUGCACAGUUUCAGGUUGAGUGGUCAGCCCGGGAACAUCACUCGGCUUCUCAGUUGCACAGAUGAAGAUCUUAAAAAGUAUAAAGGUCAUGACUUGGCCCCCACGCAUUAUGUUCCUUCCAUGAGCAGACAUCCUCUCACAGGGGAUUGGUAAGUUUAACAUCAGGAGGGUUUAAAGUUACUAUAACUUGAUCUGAUAUUUGGAAUGAAUCAGGUACCCGGCAAUUAACAAACCGGCGGCGGUUGUUCAUUGGCUUCACCACACAAAUAUAGAUGCAGAAUACAUAGUCAUUCUUGAUGCUGACAUGAUCCUCAGAGGACCCAUCACCCCUUGGGAGUAUAAGGCAGCUCUAGGACGUCCAGUUUCUACUCCUUACGAGUAAAUAUACAAAUCUCUCUUUCUCUGUUUGGAAGAUGCAUAAACUAUUUCCUUUUGUUAAACUAUUUCUUUUUGUUUGUAGCUAUCUUAUUGGGUGUGACAACGAUCUUGCAAAACUUCACACGCGUAACCCCGAGGCAUGUGACAAAGUUGGUGGAGUCAUAAUAAUGCACAUAGAUGACCUCAGGAAAUUCGCAAUGUACUGGUUGCUGAAAACGCAGGAGGUUCGAGCAGACAAAGAACAUUACGCAAAGGAGUUAACAGGGGAUAUAUAUGAGUCCGGUUGGAUCAGUGAAAUGUACGGUUAUUCCUUCGGUGCUGCUGAGGUAAGACUUAUCAUAACCCUGUAAUCCUCUGAUCAGUGAUUGUGAUUAAUUGGUCUAAAAUACUUUGGUAUAUUGACAUACAAUUGCAGCUGAAUUUGAGGCAUAUCAUAAACAAAGAGAUAUUGAUAUACCCUGGUUACGUCCCUGAACCGGGUGUUGACUAUCGAGUUUUCCAUUACGGUCUUGAGUUCAAAGUAGGGAACUGGAGCUUCGACAAGGCGAACUGGAGGAACACCGAUAUGAUCAACAAGUGCUGGUCUAAGUUCCCGGACCCGCCUACUCCUUCAGAGGUUCAUGAAACGGACAAUGAUCUACGGCAAAGAGACCUUCUCAGUAUUGAAUGUGGACAGAAGCUAAACGAAGCUCUGUUGCUGCAUCACAAGAGAAGGAACUGCCCUGAACCUGGAUCCGAGUCCGAGUCGAAGGAGGAGAGUAUCUCCUUGGGUUCGAGAAAAGUGGGAAAGUUGGAAACGAAACAAGCCAAAGGAAGCGAUGAGACUACGGAAGAAACGACGUCAGAAGGGAGAUUCAGCAGGUUGAAGAUGUGGGUG